UACCGAAUUCAGAUAAACUCCGAAUGCCAUGUACUUAUACUCGGGAGUCAGACUGCGAGUGAUAAGAUCCGUAGUCGAAAGGGAAACAGCCCAGACCACCAGUUAAGGUCCCCAAAUAUAUGUUAAGUGGAAAAGGAUGUGGGGUUGCUUAGACAACCAGGAUGUUGGCUUAGAAGCAGCCACCAUUGAAAGAGUGCGUAAUAGCUCACUGGUCGAGUGACCCCGCGCCGAAAAUGUACCGGGGCUAAACAUAUUACCGAAACUGUGGAUGAACCUCUUUAGAGGUUCGUGGUAGGAGAGCGUUCUAAGGGCGGUGAAGUCAGACCGGAAGGACUGGUGGAGCGCUUAGAAGUGAGAAUGCCGGUAUGAGUAGCGAAAGAAGGGUGAGAAUCCCUUCCACCGAAUAUCUAAGGUUUCCUGAGGAAGGCUCGUCCGCUCAGGGUUAGUCGGGACCUAAGCCGAGGCCGAUAGGCGUAGGCGAUGGACAACAGGUAGAGAUUCCUGUACCAGUGCUAAUUGUUUAACCGAUGGGGUGACACAGAAGGAUAGGGAAUCGCACGAAUGGAAAUGUGCGUCCAAGCAGUGAGUGUGAGAAGUAGGCAAAUCCGCUUCUCGCGAAGCAUGAGCUGUGAUGGGGAAGGAAAUUAAGUACGGAAGUUCCUGAUUUCACGCUGUCAAGAAAAGCCUCUAGGAAGAGUAGUACUGCCCGUACCGCAAACCGACACAGGUAGAUGAGGAGAGAAUCCUAAGGUGAGCGAGAGAACUCUCGUUAAGGAACUCGGCAAAAUGACCCCGUAACUUCGGGAGAAGGGGUGCUCUAUUAGGGUGCAAGCCCGAGAGAGCCGCAGUGAAUAGGCCCAGGCGACUGUUUAGCAAAAACACAGGUCUCUGCAAAACCGUAAGGUGACGUAUAGGGGCUGACGCCUGCCCGGUGCUGGAAGGUUAAGAGGAGUGCUUAGCUUCGGCGAAGGUACGAAUUGAAGCCCCAGUAAACGGCGGCCGUAACUAUAACGGUCCUAAGGUAGCGAAAUUCCUUGUCGGGUAAGUUCCGACCCGCACGAAAGGCGCAACGAUCUGGGCACUGUCUCAACGAGAGACUCGGUGAAAUUAUAGUACCUGUGAAGAUGCAGGUUACCCGCGACAGGACGGAAAGACCCCGUGGAGCUUUACUGCAACCUGAUAUGGAAUGUUUGUACCGCUUGUACAGGAUAGGUAGGAGCCGAAGAGACGUGUGCGCUAGCAUACGAGGAGGCAAUGGUGGGAUACUACCCUGGCUGUAUGACCAUUCUAACCCGCCACGCUUAGCGCGUGGGGAGACAGUGUCAGGUGGGCAGUUUGACUGGGGCGGUCGCCUCCUAAAGAGUAACGGAGGCGCCCAAAGGUUCCCUC
This 1389-nucleotide ribosomal RNA is filed under the name Listeria monocytogenes. RNAcentral describes it as "partial 23S ribosomal RNA". It matches the Rfam family "Bacterial large subunit ribosomal RNA", at positions 937 to 2323 of the family's 2925-position model. The record is from RNAcentral. Lineage: Bacteria; Bacillati; Bacillota; Bacilli; Caryophanales; Listeriaceae.